AGCAGCCGCGGUAAUUCCAGCUCCAAUAGCGUAUAUUAAAGUUGUUGCAGUUAAAAGCUCGUAGUUGAAUUUCGGGAUCAAUUUAUUGGUCGUGCAAUAGUACGUACUGGUGUUAUUGGUUCCUACCUUCUGAUGAACCAUGAUGUCAUUAAUUUGGUGUUAUGGGGAAUCAGGACUGUUACUUUGAAAAAUUAGAGUGUUUAAAGCAGGCUCACGCUUGAAUACAUUAGCAUGGAAUAAUGAAAUAGGACGUUUGAUUCUAUUUUGUUGGUUUCUAGGAUCGACGUAAUGAUUAAUAGGGAUAGUUGGGGGCAUUAGUAUUCAAUUGUCAGAGGUGAAAUUCUUGGAUUUAUUGAAGACUAACUACUGCGAAAGCAUUUGCCAAGGAUGUUUUCAUUAAUCAAGAACGAAAGUUAGGGGAUCGAAGACGAUCAGAUACCGUCGUGGUCUUAACCAUAAACUAUGCCGACUAGGGAUCGGAUGAUGUUAAUUUUUAAUGACUUAUUCGGCGCCUUAAC
This 518-nucleotide ribosomal RNA is filed under the name uncultured Glomus. RNAcentral describes it as "SSU rRNA". It matches the Rfam family "Eukaryotic small subunit ribosomal RNA", at positions 569 to 1092 of the family's 1831-position model. Lineage: Eukaryota; Fungi; Glomeromycota; Glomeromycetes; Glomerales; Glomeraceae. The record is from RNAcentral.